Molecule: ribosomal RNA, 479 nt
Filed under: uncultured bacterium
Lineage: Bacteria
Description: SSU rRNA
Rfam family: Bacterial small subunit ribosomal RNA
Source: RNAcentral
AGGACGAACGCUGGCGGCGUGCUUAACACAUGCAAGUCGAACGGAAAGGCCCUUUCGGAGGUGCUCGAGUGGCGAACGGGUGAGUAACACGUGGGUGAUCUGCCCUGCACUUUGGGAUAAGCCUGGGAAACUGGGUCUAAUACCGGAUAGGACUACGGCCUGCAUGGGUUGUGGUGGAAAGCUUUUGCGGUGUGGGAUGGGCCCGCGGCCUAUCAGCUUGUUGGUGGGGUGAUGGCCUACCAAGGCGACGACGGGUAGCCGGCCUGAGAGGGUGUCCGGCCACACUGGGACUGAGAUACGGCCCAGACUCCUACGGGAGGCAGCAGUGGGGAAUAUUGCACAAUGGGCGCAAGCCUGAUGCAGCGACGCCGCGUGAGGAUGACGGCCUUCGGGUUGUAAACCUCUUUCAGCAUCGACGAAGCGCAAGUGACGGUAGAUGCAGAAGAAGCACCGGCCAACUACGUGCCAGCAGCCGCGGU